Molecule: ribosomal RNA, 751 nt
Filed under: Bacillus altitudinis
Lineage: Bacteria; Bacillati; Bacillota; Bacilli; Caryophanales; Bacillaceae
Description: bacterial SSU rRNA
Rfam family: Bacterial small subunit ribosomal RNA
Source: RNAcentral
CUAUACAUGCAGUCGAGCGGACAGAAGGGAGCUUGCUCCCGGAUGUUAGCGGCGGACGGGUGAGUAACACGUGGGUAACCUGCCUGUAAGACUGGGAUAACUCCGGGAAACCGGAGCUAAUACCGGAUAGUUCCUUGAACCGCAUGGUUCAAGGAUGAAAGACGGUUUCGGCUGUCACUUACAGAUGGACCCGCGGCGCAUUAGCUAGUUGGUGAGGUAACGGCUCACCAAGGCGACGAUGCGUAGCCGACCUGAGAGGGUGAUCGGCCACACUGGGACUGAGACACGGCCCAGACUCCUACGGGAGGCAGCAGUAGGGAAUCUUCCGCAAUGGACGAAAGUCUGACGGAGCAACGCCGCGUGAGUGAUGAAGGUUUUCGGAUCGUAAAGCUCUGUUGUUAGGGAAGAACAAGUGCAAGAGUAACUGCUUGCACCUUGACGGUACCUAACCAGAAAGCCACGGCUAACUACGUGCCAGCAGCCGCGGUAAUACGUAGGUGGCAAGCGUUGUCCGGAAUUAUUGGGCGUAAAGGGCUCGCAGGCGGUUUCUUAAGUCUGAUGUGAAAGCCCCCGGCUCAACCGGGGAGGGUCAUUGGAAACUGGGAAACUUGAGUGCAGAAGAGGAGAGUGGAAUUCCACGUGUAGCGGUGAAAUGCGUAGAGAUGUGGAGGAACACCAGUGGCGAAGGCGACUCUCUGGUCUGUAACUGACGCUGAGGAGCGAAAGCGUGGGGAGCGAACAGGAUUAGAUA